AGCAGCCGCGGUAAUUCCAGCUCCAAUAGCGUAUAUUAAAGUUGCUGCAGUUAAAAAGCUCGUAGUUGAAUUUCGGGAUCAAUAUGUUGGUCGUGCCUUGGUGCGUACUAGUUUAUUGAUUUCUCCCUUCUGACGAACUAUGAUGCCAUUAAUUUGGUGUCAUGGGGAAUCAGGACUGUUACUUUGAAAAAUUAGAGUGUUUAAAGCAGGCUCACGCUUGAAUACAUUAGCAUGGAAUAAUAAAAUAGGACGUUUGAUUCUAUUUUGUUGGUUUCUAGGAUCGACGUAAUGAUUAAUAGGGAUAGUUGGGGGCAUUAGUAUUCAAUUGUCGGAGGUGAAAUUCUUGGAUUUAUUGAAGACUAACUACUGCGAAAGCAUUUGCCAAGGAUGUUUUCAUUAAUCAAGAACGAAAGUUAGGGGAUCGAAGACGAUCAGAUACCGUCGUAGUCUUAACCAUAAACUAUGCCGACUAGGGAUCGGAUGAUGUUAAUUUUUAAUGACUCAUUCGGCG
Molecule: ribosomal RNA, 511 nt
Filed under: uncultured Glomus
Lineage: Eukaryota; Fungi; Glomeromycota; Glomeromycetes; Glomerales; Glomeraceae
Description: SSU rRNA
Rfam family: Eukaryotic small subunit ribosomal RNA
Source: RNAcentral